UACGUAGGGUCCGAGCGUUGUCCGGAAUUAUUGGGCGUAAGGAGCUCGUAGGCGGUUUGUCGCGUCUGCUGUGAAAUCCCGAGGCUCAACCUCGGGCCUGCAGUGGGUACGGGCAGACUGGAGUGCGGUAGGGGAGAAUGGAAUUCCUGGUGUAGCGGUGGAAUGCGCAGAUAUCAGGAGGAACACCGAUGGCGAAGGCAGUUCUCUGGGCCGUAACUGACGCUGAGGAGCGAAAGCGUGGGGAGCGAACAGG
RNAcentral lists this ribosomal RNA (253 nucleotides) under uncultured bacterium. RNAcentral describes it as "partial 16S ribosomal RNA". It matches the Rfam family "Bacterial small subunit ribosomal RNA", at positions 524 to 776 of the family's 1533-position model. The record is from RNAcentral.